CCCUCUAUUUGAGCUUUGGGAUUUGAUGCU
This 30-nucleotide non-coding RNA is filed under the name Mus musculus (house mouse). Lineage: Eukaryota; Metazoa; Chordata; Mammalia; Rodentia; Muridae. The record is from RNAcentral.